Long non-coding RNA from Rhea pennata, 1257 nucleotides. RefSeq lists it as uncharacterized. The record is from RefSeq and is a predicted model, not a curated record. The transcript is spliced from 2 exons. Lineage: Eukaryota; Metazoa; Chordata; Aves; Rheiformes; Rheidae.
GAAUAAUGCCAGGAAAGAGAUGCUCAAUACACCGUAGGUAUAUGGCGGCCUUUCCCAAAAACUGCAUUAAAACUAAAGGCAACUUCACACCUUGGAAAUGGAGUCAGUUUGUAACAUCCACGUAAUGUACAAAUUCAACAUGAAGCACACCAAGCACUAAGUUAACAACUUUUCUCAGACGACUGUUGGACUCGGCGGAAGAGGAAAGCGGCGCUGCCACUACACAAGGGAGAGAUGCCCAGCUCCUGGCCGCCGCCGCGGCGAGGGCCACGCGAGCUCACCGCCGGCGCCCACGGCCCCUCGGCCGGCAGGUGACGGCCCGCCUGAGAGGAAACCCGCUCUGCGCGCGCCCGCUACCCGGCAUGCCCCGCGGCCGCCCGCUCGGCGGGUGACGCGUGUUUGUAAACACGGAGGCGCCGCCCCCAGCGCCCUGUGAGGGAAAAGGCGCGAGGCGGAGCGGUAGGGCGGCGGCGCCGCGCCUCCUCCUUCCCGCGCGUCUGGUAACGGCUGCCGCUGGAGCGCAUUUGUCUGUCUGUCUAUCUAUCUAAGAGGGGGGCUUUAAAAGCCGUGUCUGGUGCGGCACCGUCACCGAAACGCUGCUGGGAACCGAGCCGACGGCCGAAACUACAGCGAGGUUAAACAAAGGGCAGUUGAGUAACCAAAAACGCAGCGCACAGCCCUUGUUUUGCUUCACGUAGCAACGGACGGUGGAAGUUUAGACAAAUGCACGUUUAAAAUUGAAAACUGAUGUUUUUUCCCUCCACCCUCAGGAUAUCAACUGUAUUCAUAAGGCAGCUCUAAAUCCCAAUACCACAAAAGGAUUUUUUAAAAGGCCACAGGAACAACACUGAAUUUUAUCUGGAAUUGCUAAACCUGAAUACUCUGCAUUUCAACCAUGACAAACAUACAAUUUUUGCCAAAAGAAUUGGUAAUUAAGGGCUCUUCUACUUCAUGGUUAAGAUUUUAACACUUCAGGGAAAAUUGCAACAAUAAUUCAAAAGCUUUUUUUUAACCCAUUCCUAAACAAUGUUACUAAUCCUACCAGCCUUCAAAAUAAUCAGAGAAACAACCUUAUCAGCUGCAACAUUUACUGUAUUUAAUGUUGAUCACUACAACUACUGCUGUUACAACAAUACAGCAUAAUUCUACUGUGAUUUUUCUGAAAUAUAAUAUGCCAUCUUUCACCACUGGAUGUUCUUCCUUUCUCUUUGCUUGCUCUGGUGUAAAUAAACAGUUAAAAGUACCUGCUUAAACAAA